UCCUGUUGCUUGGCAAUCACAGUGGGUGUCUGUCGACAUGCUCCCCGCCUCUCACCUGCCACGGAGCAGGUGCUCAACCCCGCCCACUCUCAACUAGGGCGAGCUCUGCAUUCCACGCAUUCUUCCACUCCUGUUCUGCGACCACUCCAGUUCCAAAAAAGCUCGGUGGUACUACGAAUCCUCUCUAAAUCAUACUCCUCAUCUGUUUAUUCCUUAUUUCUUCCUCCAGGAGCCCACUUUCUCUUGAGAAAGCUGCAGAUCCUCGUUCAGCAUGGUGCACCAGGGUUCCCAAAGACCUGAUGUGUGAGGCUUCUUUGCCUUUUCAUAGGUCUUGGCUCAAAUCCUGACUCCCCUGUGAAGAUGUCCUGACCCUCCCAGCCUAGAGCCACUACUCCCUCCUUGAAUCUCAGGAUCUCCAACUGUGACAUGGCCAUACUAUUUGCCACAUCCCCACAGACGGAUUGUGAUGAGGAAGGAAAGAGAGAGUCCAUGUAGCAUGCUAGAUGCGGUGUCUGGUGCAGGCCUGUGGGCUCCCCUAAAAUGUGGCACUCCAAUGACAAUCCAUCCCUCUCUAUGGAGCCUACGACAGCACACACCUCAGCGUUCUAGAGAGGACAGGUUUCAGGCCACCGGAGGAAUUUAGGGAGUGACUACAGGAGCGACCUUAUCCCACACUGUUUGAACAAGCACUGUGGGCCAAUGGCCAUGGACUGAGCCAGUGGAAAGUGGGGCUUGGACCCCUCUGAUUGGACGUUUCCAUCAUCCCAACGAUGCGUUAGUUCCAAGUCAUGAAGGUGGGUAUUUCCAGAAAUAAAACAAUAUAACCUGGAAAAGAACAGACAGAAUCAGAUACAUUAGAAGUAGUUGGAGUAAUAACUUCAGUUUCUAGGG
RNAcentral lists this long non-coding RNA (891 nucleotides) under Homo sapiens (human). RNAcentral describes it as "HSALNT0408380". The record is from RNAcentral. Lineage: Eukaryota; Metazoa; Chordata; Mammalia; Primates; Hominidae.